RNAcentral lists this ribosomal RNA (329 nucleotides) under uncultured eukaryote. RNAcentral describes it as "partial 18S ribosomal RNA". It matches the Rfam family "Eukaryotic small subunit ribosomal RNA", at positions 1470 to 1796 of the family's 1831-position model. The record is from RNAcentral.
CCCUUAGAUGUUCUGGGCCGCACGCGCGCUACACUGUUUGAUUCAGCGAGUCUUAACCUUGACCGAAAGGUUUGGGUAAUCUUCUAAAGUCAAACGUGAUGGGGAUCGAUCAUUGCAAUUAUUGAUCGUGAACGAGGAAUUCCUAGUAAAUGCAAGUCAUCAGCUUGCGUUGAUUACGUCCCUGCCCUUUGUACACACCGCCCGUCGCUACUACCGAUUGAAUGGUUUAGUGAGAUCUCCGGAUUGGCUCUGUAGGUCCCGCAAGGGAUUUAUUAGUAGCCAAGAAGCUGCUCAAACUUGAUCAUUUAGAGGAAGUAAAAGGCGUAACA